Molecule: ribosomal RNA, 254 nt
Filed under: uncultured bacterium
Lineage: Bacteria
Description: partial 16S ribosomal RNA
Rfam family: Bacterial small subunit ribosomal RNA
Source: RNAcentral
UACGGGGGGAGCAAGCGUUGUUCGGAUUUACUGGGCGUAAAGGGCGCGUAGGCGGUCAGCACAAGUCAGACGUGAAAUCCCUCGGCUCAACCGGGGAACUGCGUCUGAUACUGGGUGGCUUGAGUUCGGGAGAGGGAUGCGGAAUUCCAGGUGUAGCGGUGAAAUGCGUAGAUAUCUGGAGGAACACCGGUGGCGAAGGCGGCAUCCUGGACCGACACUGACACUGAGGAGCGAAAGCCAGGGGAGCAAACGGG